AACGUAGGUGGCGAGCGUUAUCCGGAUUUACUGGGCGUAAAGCGCACGUAGGCGGACUAUUAAGUCAGGGGUGAAAUCCCGGGGCUCAACCCCGGAACUGCCUUUGAUACUGGUAGUCUUGAGUUCGAGAGAGGUGAGUGGAAUUCCGAGUGUAGAGGUGAAAUUCGUAGAUAUUCGGAGGAACACCAGUGGCGAAGGCGGCUCACUGGCUCGAUACUGACGCUGAGGUGCGAAAGCGUGGGGAGCAAACAGG
This 253-nucleotide ribosomal RNA is filed under the name uncultured bacterium. Its description in RNAcentral is "partial 16S ribosomal RNA". It matches the Rfam family "Bacterial small subunit ribosomal RNA", at positions 524 to 776 of the family's 1533-position model. The record is from RNAcentral.